AGCUCCAGUCCAGCGGGGGGCGCUAAACACAUGUUUGUUUGCCAAACACCAUUAAACCUGAGAGGAAGAAGAUCAGUUUCAGCGCGCUGAGCAGAGUCUUCUGAGGAGAGCUCAGCAGCUCACGAGUUAAAUGAAGAAAAUUAGGAGAAUGAAGAAUCAAGUGAAGUUGAGGAGAGAAAUCAUAUUAAAACUGAAGAAAAACCUUUGAGCUGCUCUCAAACCAAACA
This is a long non-coding RNA of Sinocyclocheilus anshuiensis, 227 nucleotides long. RefSeq lists it as uncharacterized. Lineage: Eukaryota; Metazoa; Chordata; Actinopteri; Cypriniformes; Cyprinidae. The record is from RefSeq and is a predicted model, not a curated record. The transcript has 2 exons.